Mizuhopecten yessoensis (Yesso scallop) is the source of this 653-nucleotide long non-coding RNA. RefSeq lists it as uncharacterized. The transcript has 3 exons. NCBI's taxonomy places the organism in Eukaryota, Metazoa, Mollusca, Bivalvia, Pectinida, Pectinidae. The record is from RefSeq and is a predicted model, not a curated record.
UUACUGUACACACAUUUUGGUAACUGUACACACAUAAGGUUACUGUUCACACUUUUGGUUACUGUACACACGUUAGGUUUCUGUUCAUGCAUUUGGUAACUGUACACACUUUUGGUUACUGUUCACAUGUUUAUUAACUACACACAUUUGGUUACUGUUCACAGGUUCGGUAACUGUAAACACGUUUGGUAACUGUAUGCACAUUUUGGUAACUGUACACACUUUUGGUUACUGUACGCACUUUUGGUUACUGUACACAGGUUCGGUAACUGUACACACAUAAGGUUACUGUACACACUUUUGUUUACUGUACACACUUUUGGUUACUGUACACACGUUAGGUUACUGUACACACAUUAGGUUACUGUACACACAUUUGGUAACUGUACACAUGUUAGGUUACUGUACACAGGUUAGGUUACUGUACACAUGUUAGGUUGCUGUACACACGUUAGGUUACUGUACAUGCGCCCAGAUGUUAGGUUACUGUACACACGUUAGGUUACUGUAUAUGUGCCCAGAUGUUAGGUUACUGUACCCACGUUAGGUUACUGUACAUGUGCCCAGCUGUUAGGUUACUGUACACACGUUAGGUAACUGUACACACCUUUGGUUACUGUACACACAUUUGGUUAAUGUACACACAUUUGGUU